RNAcentral lists this ribosomal RNA (465 nucleotides) under uncultured bacterium. RNAcentral describes it as "partial 16S ribosomal RNA". It matches the Rfam family "Bacterial small subunit ribosomal RNA", at positions 338 to 795 of the family's 1533-position model. The record is from RNAcentral.
CCUACGGGAGGCAGCAGUGAGGAAUAUUGGUCAAUGGGCGAAAGCCUGAUGGAGCAACGCCGCGUGGGUGAAGAAGGUCUUCGGAUCGUAAAACCCUGUUGUUAGAGAAGAAAGUGCGUGAGAGUAACUGUUCACGUUUCGACGGUAUCUAACCAGAAAGCCACGGCUAACUACGUGCCAGCAGCCGCGGUAAUACGUAGGUGGCAAGCGUUAUCCGGAUUUAUUGGGCGUAAAGGGAACGCAGGCGGUCUUUUAAGUCUGAUGUGAAAGCCUUCGGCUUAACCGGAGUAGUGCAUUGGAAACUGGGAGACGUGAGUGCAGAAGAGGAGAGUGGAACUCCAUGGGUAGCGGUGAAAUGCGUAGAUAUAUGGAAGAACACCAGUGGCGAAAGCGGCUCUCUGGUCUGUAACUGACGCUGAGGUUCGAAAGCGUGGGUAGCAAACAGGAUUAGAUACCCCAGUAGUC